This 620-nucleotide ribosomal RNA is filed under the name uncultured fungus. Its description in RNAcentral is "eukaryotic LSU rRNA". The stretch from base 222 to 375 matches the Rfam family "5.8S ribosomal RNA". The record is from RNAcentral. Lineage: Eukaryota; Fungi.
AGUAAAAGUCGUAACAAGGUUUCCGUAGGUGAACCUGCAGAAGGAUCAUUACUGGGUCUAGGCCUCGUGCCCGCCACCCGCCCUCUAUCAUAAGACGCGCAAGCAACUCACAUCGCUUCAGCCCUAGGGGAGACCCUCCGUUAACGCGGGAGGGGUACCCCGCAGCCAGUCACAAACCCAAACAUAUCAUAAAGUCUGAACAAAUGAUAAACAAAAAGCAAAACUUUCAACAACGGAUCUCUUAGUUCUAGCAACAAUAAAGAACGCAGCAAAAUGCGAUAAUUAAUAUGAAUUGCAGAAUUCAGUAAAUCAUCGAAUCUUUAAACACAUAUUACGCCCCCUAGUAUUCCAGGGGGCACGCCUAUCUAAGCGCCAUUACACCCCCCAAGCCUCGCUUAAUAUUUGGUCAUAGUACACUACUAGACCCUAAACCUCUAGGCGCCCCCCGCUAGCCGCGAGCGUAGCAAGAAUUUAUUCCUCGCUCCGCGUGUCCAUCAGGUAGGCCGCCUCUAAACCCCAUUUCUACACAGUUUGGCCUCAGAUCAGGCGGGGAUACCCGCUAAACUUAAGCAUAUCAAUAAGCGGAGGAAAAGAAACCAACAGGGAUUGCCCCAGUAACG